AAUGAACGUUGGCGGCGUGGAUUAGGCAUGCAAGUCGAGCGCUCAUAGCAAUAUGGGAGCGGCGAACGGCGUAGUAAUGCAUCGGAACGUACCCUUCGGUCGGGGAUAGCCACGGGAAACUGUGGGUAAUACCCGAUGAUAUCUGCGGAUCAAAGGUGAGAUUCCGCCGGAGGAGCGGCUGAUGUGAUAUUAGCUUGAUGGUGGGGUAAUGGCCUACCAUGGCGAUGAUGUCUAGGGGGGUGUGAGAGCAUGGCCCCCCACGACCGGAACUGAGACACUGUCCGGACACCUACGGGUGGCUGCAGUCGAGAAUCUUCCGCAAUGGACGAAAGUCUGACGGAGCGACGCCGCGUGCGGGAUGAAGGCCCUUGGGUUGUAGACCGCUGUCAGAGGGGAUGAAAUCUCCGGGGGUACUCCCCCGGAGUUGACAGAGCCUCAAAGGAAGCACGGGCUAAGUACGUGCCAGCAGCCGCGGUAAUGU
Molecule: ribosomal RNA, 481 nt
Filed under: uncultured bacterium
Lineage: Bacteria
Description: bacterial SSU rRNA
Rfam family: Bacterial small subunit ribosomal RNA
Source: RNAcentral